GCCGCCUCGUCCUCGCAAGGAUAUCGUGGUCCCCAUGUUUCCGGUAUCUAUCGGCGUCAUCCAUACCAUUUCCACCAAAUUAAACAUUUAACCUCUCGUAAUGACGGUGUUUUGGGUCCCAUAUUUUAUUGUCCAAAGUACCCAAAAAAAUUUGCUGACGCACAUUCCAGAAACGCACCAAACCUUCAACUCCAUUAGCUUUCGGACAGAU
RNAcentral lists this long non-coding RNA (211 nucleotides) under Elaeis guineensis (African oil palm). RNAcentral's name for it is "long non-coding RNA (EGUI_LNC019113)". The record is from RNAcentral. Lineage: Eukaryota; Viridiplantae; Streptophyta; Magnoliopsida; Arecales; Arecaceae.